RNAcentral lists this ribosomal RNA (254 nucleotides) under uncultured bacterium. RNAcentral describes it as "partial 16S ribosomal RNA". It matches the Rfam family "Bacterial small subunit ribosomal RNA", at positions 524 to 776 of the family's 1533-position model. The record is from RNAcentral.
UACGAAGGGGGCUAGCGUUGCUCGGAAUCACUGGGCGUAAAGCGCACGUAGGCGGAUUGUUAAGUCAGGGGUGAAAUCUCCGAGCUUAACUCGGAACUGUCAGCUGAUACUGAUGUGCUUGAGUGCGGAAGGGGCAAUCGGAAUUCUUGGUGUAGCGGUGAAAUGCGUAGAUAUCAAGAGGAACACCUGAGGUGAAGACGGGUUGCUGGGCCGACACUGACGCUGAGUGCGCGAAAGCCAGGGGAGCAAACGGG